AUGAUUCUCUCUAGAUUUUUUCAUACAUUUUUCUUUCAAAAACUAUGAGAAAAUAACAAGGAUUUUAAAAGAUUUUCACAUAUGGUUUUUUAAACUUUAUGUAAUAAAUUUAUGAAAAGAAAAGUAGGGGUUAGCGGGCAAAACAUUUAAUGGAACUACAUGGAUAAAACCAGAGGAUUCAAUAUAUAUAAACACAAAAAGUCAAAAACAAGAGGAGCGAACAUCCUUAACACAUAUGAUAACAAUUCAAUCUUUGAUUCAAAUUUAAAGGUGACUGAUUUUGAUGAAGUGACUGUAAUAUAAUGUAUUUUAGGCAUCAAUGGUGAUUGAAUCUUUGAUUCAAAUUCAAAAGUACUGAUUCUUAUGAAAGUGUAAACAUUUUAUACUGUCUUGCAGUCGAAACGAUGAACUGUAUAUUAUAGAUUGACAUACAUGUCUUAAAAGAUCAAUCAUUUACAUACUAUAGUAACAAUUCAUGAACUGUAAAUGGACUAAAAUCAUGAAUAAGAAACAAACAUUUAAUCAACUAAUAAAGCAAUGUUUAUCAAUAACUACUAGUUAGAUCAACUAACCAUAAUUUGUAACAUUCUGUGACAGUGUCACUAUAAAUAUUGAACACAAUUUACAUAUACUGUUAUAUAUAUAUUAUUAAUAUUUCAUAUAUGAACAAAUAACUUUUUUUCCUAGUGUCCAUUUUUGACAUUUUUAUUUGCUACAGUUUAAAUCAAAAGAUUUUAUUACGCAGAUUUUCAUGUUUUAACAAUAAAACGUGUGCGAGUCGUCCAAAAAAUGAUCUCUAUUACCUGCAGUCUCCAAAUAAUAUGUGAUUUAAUGAGAUUUCAGAAAUCACUAAGAGCUGUUUCAGAAUUAAAUGCAUGGGUGCAUAUUUUUUUUUAAUACUCUGAGCACCAAUAAAUUAAAAAAUUUUCAUUUUAGGUAUAUUUCUCAAAAAAUUCAAUAGAGAAUGAAACCAAUCAUAAUUAAUUUAUUGCAGUGCCUCCCAUCCCAGCAUGUUUUUUAAAUCUGGAACAGCUAUUAGAUUACAAAUUAAAAUAUCAGUGCAAAACUUCAUAUAGAAAAAUUUGUGAAACUUUGGUGGAAUUUAUAAUAAAUAUCAAAUUUGAGGCAUGAAAGAUGACACAAAACAACAGAAGUGGCUGUUUGUGUCAUCUUUAAUGCAUAAAGAUGAUACCAGACAAAAGAAGUGAAUAUUUUGUGUCAUCUUAAAUGAAUAUGAUGACACAUGACAAAACAACAAAGGUGAAUUCUUUGUGUCAUCUUUAAUGUAUAAGACGACAAGGCAACAGAAGUGAAUUAUUUGUCAAUAUAGAUUCUAUGUAAGGUUACACAAUUAUAUGUGUUGUUUUAUGAUUUGUUUUUUCUAGGGUAGUACUUUCCACAUUUCUAUAGAUAUAUGUACCAGAAAAAAAUUGGUACAUUGCAAAUGCUAGCACUAUAACAAAACAGAAAAACAAAAAAACAAAAUUUUUUGUUCCUUUCUGUCACAUACAAUAAUACUGUCAAAAUCAUUAAAAAAUAUCAUAUUUUCACAUUCAAUUGAUAAAUAUCUAGUUUAAAAUUUGAUGUCAAGCAAACAAAAUCAAAUUUUUUAUGAUGAAUAAUUGACAUACAGCAUUAAUAAAAUAAUUGUAAGCUGCAUUCUAUAUAUAAAUAAAAUGAAGUCAUGCAGAAAUGUAAAAGAGAGACAAAAAAAACAUACAUGAGCACAUAUUCAAAUCAACAUACUGUAAAUUCAGACACUAUUGUGAGGUUUUUAUUAAUGCAAAUAAUGCGACUUCUUGAAUAUAGCAAUAAUAAGAACUUGCAUUCUGAUAUCUGAUACAUAUAUCUGUAGGUAGCUUUUUCCUCAAAUUGCAAUAAUUAAACUCGCAUUUUAGUUCAUUCUUCAAAAAUAGCAAUAAUAAAUGCACGCAAUAGUUUCUGAAUUUACAGUAGUAAAUAAUUGUUUCAAAUAAAUAUGCUUAAAGGAGUUUUUUCAUUUUUUUUUCAAGCUUUGAAAUUGUUUUUUCAUUUUGUAGUGAUAGAUUAGAGAAGAUUUCAUUGAUAAUACCAUCUUCAUUACAAAUGUACAAAUCCAAUUCAAUUGUUAAAUUUAAAACCACUUGUAAAUUAAUAUUCGUGAAGCUCAAUUGAAUUGAGAACAGAUAUAAGGAAUGUGUCAAAGAGACAAUAACCCGACCAAAUAGCAGAAAACAGCCCAAAGCCACCAAUGGGUCUUCAACACAGCGAGAAAAUCUUUAAAAGAUUGAUCACACUUUU
Molecule: long non-coding RNA, 2280 nt
Organism: Mytilus californianus (California mussel)
Lineage: Eukaryota; Metazoa; Mollusca; Bivalvia; Mytilida; Mytilidae
Exons: 2
Source: RefSeq, a predicted model, not a curated record